Molecule: ribosomal RNA, 464 nt
Filed under: Vreelandella stevensii
Lineage: Bacteria; Pseudomonadati; Pseudomonadota; Gammaproteobacteria; Oceanospirillales; Halomonadaceae
Description: partial 16S ribosomal RNA
Rfam family: Bacterial small subunit ribosomal RNA
Source: RNAcentral
CCUACGGAGGCUGCAGUGGGGAAUAUUGGACAAUGGGCGAAAGCCUGAUCCAGCCAUGCCGCGUGUGUGAAGAAGGCCUUCGGGUUGUAAAGCACUUUCAGUGGGGAAGAAAGCCUUGGGGCUAAUACCCUCGAGGAAGGACAUCACCCACAGAAGAAGCACCGGCUAACUCCGUGCCAGCAGCCGCGGUAAUACGGAGGGUGCGAGCGUUAAUCGGAAUUACUGGGCGUAAAGCGCGCGUAGGCGGUCUGAUAAGCCGGUUGUGAAAGCCCCGGGCUCAACCUGGGAACGGCAUCCGGAACUGUCAGGCUAGAGUGCAGGAGAGGAAGGUAGAAUUCCCGGUGUAGCGGUGAAAUGCGUAGAGAUCGGGAGGAAUACCAGUGGCGAAGGCGGCCUUCUGGACUGACACUGACGCUGAGGUGCGAAAGCGUGGGUAGCAAACAGGAUUAGAUACCCUGGUAGUC